UCCAUGAAGACAGCUGUCAACAUUUCAGUUCCAAAAGCUUCUCCAAGAUCAAUGUCCUCAACAAACCUAUCUUGUUAAAGUCCCCAUAGCUUAAGUUUCAUGCAUGCUGCCAGAGCUUUCCUGAGUUCAUCUCCAGAGCACUAAUGAAAACUUUACAGCCUGUUUAAGAGAACCAGCUGGAAAUUUUAAUUCUGAUUUGUGCCAUGCUGAAGCAAGAAUUUUCACCGUUAUGCCUUCUCUGCCUCUCAUUUCAACUCACAAACAUAGUCAAGUUUAAAUCCCUGCCACGUAUCCGGUGAGAAUGCAACAGGACGACGGCUUUGGAGCGUGCUUGGGCAGAAGCUGCACAUCCGUCAACUCUGGGAGGUCUGUAGGCUGGCAAGGGCAGAGGGUGAGGAGCUGUCACUGCUCUAGCAGCAGGGUGAAUGCCAGCGGGGAGACAAUUCAUACAAGCAAUAGCAGAGACUGGUUUUGUUGUUACCAGUAGUGAUAUGCCUGGGUUUGGUUUGGACUCAAGUCUCUUAGAAGCCUCCUUUUAAGCUGUGUUGCUACUGCAAGUAUUGCCUCUCUCUAAGAGCAGAACUGCAACAAAGGGAAUUCCUCAAGACAACAACCUCAAGUCCCAAAAAGACUGAAACCAGUUGGCACUUUGGCAAGGCUGUGAAUAGGCUGCUCGGUGGAGUUCAACGCAACGGGGAGGUUGGCGCGGAGAGAGCGGCGUCCGAUGAAUUCAGCCAUUCGUUUGUAACUUUCCUUUCAGUCCCCGAGUACAGUUUACUGAACCUCUCUCUGGUUUCAGCCUGUUUUCCUACAGCAUUCACCGAGCUCAUUUGCAUUUUUAAACAGUUGGUCUCUCUCGGUGGCUUUACAUCAUUAGUGGGAUCCGAGCAACCUUCAGCAGACUUAAGCUUCGUGGUCUCGCACACCGACAGGGGAUAGAUCACCUGGCCCCAUGGCACACCUGGUUUCCUCCUGAUGAAUGUGGUCCAGCGCUUUCCCCUCUCUGGAGAAGCAGCCGCACGCACUCUGCCACUUCCUACCGGACCCAGGUCCCGGGCACUAGAACGGCUGGGGAAGCACAACACAUCGGCGUUCAGAGGAGCAGAGUGAGAUCAGAGAGACGACUGCCAAAUGCAGCCUGUGUGUGGAAUCACAGACUUCUUUAGGGGAAACCCUCUGGGAGACCAUCCGCCCACCCCGAUAAAUCAGUGCUCUGCAAUGAGGAGCUUUACGGGCUGAGUGGGGAGGGGGUGGCAGGCAGCCAGAAGGAGAGAACGGUGAAUCCCAGGAGAUCAGGAGGGACUGCAGGUUAGAGGGCAAGAGCUUUGGGGCAGGCACUUGUGUAGUAGCGAGCCCACCAGAACCUGGGCUCCGUCCAUCUCAGGCCUCUCAGCAUGACUGUAUCAUAAGUAGUAACAAGAAUAGUAAGGCAGCUUUCCCCAGCUGUUCUAAAACCAAGAUGCAAACCCUAGGUUUGGUCACUGUCUGGGGUUUGGCUAUAUUAAUAAAGAAAUUACCAUUACCUUUAGUGUGAUCUCUCCCAGCAGCACUGGCUACUUCUAAGGUCUGCCUCCUGCUUACUCAGUCCACACCUUCGACUCCCUCUCUCCAGCUCCUUCACGCUCACCUCCUCUAUGCCGGGGAGAGGUAAAAAAAUCAGUGAGUCAGUGCCAUGCACAUAACCUUUUCCCAGCAGGAUCAACUCCUGGCAACAGGAUGAGCUGUUGCAGGCUAACACUGUCAGUCUGCUGCAUAGCUGUCAUUAUGUCUUUACAUGGCUCUAUUAACUUAAUGGUCUUUUCAGUUUUGCUGACAAGUUUGAAGGCAUCUUUUGAGUAAACAAACUUUGCCUAGCUGCUGAAUGCUGGCAGCAUUAGAUAUCUAUUUCUGUUAACAUCAUAAUUCGUACCGGGUAAUAUCGCUCCCUGCAAAGCUACACGAUUCAUAAAUCACUUGUCUUUGUAUUCUUAUUACUAGUAUUAUUAUGUAAACACGGCCAUUAGCAUGCUAGGUAUUCUUUACAGACGUGUUAGAAAGCAGUUCUCCUGUUCUUCCUCUUUUUCUACCGAUAAAAUAAGAGUUAAAAGUCUUGGUAGAUAUGUCAUAAUACAUAUUAUCAAAGGAACUAAUUUAAAUGUAAGGCUGUUUGCUACCUGGAAAAUCCAGACAUCACAGGAUGUAACAUUUGUAGAAAAUAACUUUGAUUCAACUUUUGAAGAAAGCUUUUUGCAGCUGCAGCAGUAAUUACAGCGCGUACCGAAAUAAGCUUCUUGGAGUUGGCUUGGAUUAAUUUGCACCUGAGUAGAAGAAACCAAAUAAUGAAACACAGACGAAGUCGACUUCACCUUAAGGCAGGGAGAUCUCGAUACUGCUAUCGGAGCUUAAGAACUUGUUGAAAAAGGUGCUUGAGAGAAAGACGAUUGAGGCUACUCUGUCUUGCUUUCCAACAAGCCAUCAGAAGGUUAGACAACAGGGAAGGCGGAUCAGAGACCAGAGUACUGUGCCACUUAUGCUGAAUUACCCGCAGGAAGUGCAGGCUCUUGCCUGCCCACGAUGCCGCCUCCUGUCAAGGCCAGGCGUUAGGUAGCAGACUGGCUGCCCGCUCCAUUCACAGUUCGGCUCAUAACUGCAUCUCAGCAAGCCAGUAACAGAUAGGAAAGGACUGCACCGAGCAAGGGAUCUACCUCCAAUGAGCCUUUAUGGAGAUGGGUAAAUUAAGGACACAAGAUUAAAAGACCAACAGAAACAGCUACACCAGCACUGCCACGUCAAAGUUGCCCCCUCCCAUGCCUUGGGUAGCAGCGUCCGGAGUAGCUAUCAAGAACACCCUUUCUAAAAACAGCUCACAGGACCACAAGAGACUUCACUCCCUGCUCUGGGGAACAGCAGCAGUCUCGCUGUGCAGCCAUGAUGGCUGAGAGCCACUCACUCAGAAAAGGAUCAGGAUCUUUUUGUUGCACCUUGAUUGCUUUUCAGUCAAAUGUCUCCGACUGCUCUUCAGACUACUGCUCAGCUACACAAGUCAGCCCAGGUCACGCUGUCGAUGGAUCACCUUGUGGGUUAAACGAAAGCAAUUGUUCAGCUUGGACUGUACCUGCCUCUUUCCCAAAGAUGAUGAAAACUGCUCCAAGUGCAAGAGCUGGUCUCUCACCUCUCCCAACAAUGCAAACUGGUCCAAUAUAAGAUACUGCAUCCCCUGGGCAAUUAUGCUUCUCUCACACCCCAGGACCUUCUACCGCUACAACACGACAGCCACCACCCACCCAGAGCCCCGCAUCCCAGGGAGAGGGACUUUCCAUUCUGCAACUCAUAUUUCUCCUUUUGGCUCCAGAUAGUUUGUCCCACGUACAUGUAGUUUUAAAAUAGUGAAACGCAUGGCAGAGACGGACAGAAAUUUCAAGAUAGCCAGCCAAAAAAAGAGGUGGUGUUUACCAUUGUAAAGCAACGAAUGUGACUGGAUGGCGAAGCCUUAUUAAUAGCUUUGUUUUGUGCUACUAGUCGAGGAGUCCUUUGAAAAAUAAAUAGUGCGUAAUAGCAGCUCCAUAGCUGAAGUUGUAAUUUUCCAUUCCCGUGCAGAGCUGGUUUCUUUUGCAGUCAUUAAUGAAUAAUGACAGUAUAAUAAUAAUCUUCAGAGCUCACAAUUCUAGCACCAACCUUUCCUCUGAACUUAUAAUUAAGAUGUCAGAAUUCAUUUCUGUCUCAGAAAGCUGAGACUUUUUUGCCCACUGAUUCUAAACUCCAUCUUACAGAUAUCAA
Alligator sinensis (Chinese alligator) is the source of this 3756-nucleotide long non-coding RNA. RefSeq lists it as uncharacterized. The record is from RefSeq and is a predicted model, not a curated record. The transcript is spliced from 4 exons. Lineage: Eukaryota; Metazoa; Chordata; Crocodylia; Alligatoridae.